CACAUAUUCGAGAAUCUCGGAAAGAACGUUGUUCAAAAUGGCGGCAAUGGUGGUUUGGCCAGUUUCCAUGAGAGUUUAUUCUAACGAAUAAACUCAAGGUUGCUGUAACAAAGCAGAGAUAUAAAAGUUUAUAAUCGUCGAAUUGUCAGUUCAUUGAAAUAUCAAAAGCAUGAAAGAAGUAUUCCCAAGGACGAUACUGGUAAGCUAACGCUGAUUUGAGUUUUCCGGUAUGUCAACAUCAAAGUCGCAAACGCACUUGCGUAUUACGCGAGAUGAAAAGAGACAGAGAGAAAGAGAGAGAGAGAGAGAGAGAAAUAGAGGGUGAACGACAUUAGGGACGUCGAACCAUCCAACUCCAGCAACAAGGAUAAUUAUGGCAGAUAAUUACCUCUACUUGUAGUCGAAGGAUAGCAUCGAGAAAGGAGCUACUCGACUGUAUUCUCCGAGAGAGAACUUUUACACUUUUCUUUGACGCAAGAAAGGGGAAAGUAAAGUGGAAAAAAAAGGAGAGAGAGAGAAAGAGAGAAGAGAGGAAAAAGGAGAGACGAAAAGGUCCAAGAAAGAAAAUUAAAGAAUCUAGGAGAAGAAGAAGAAGAAGGAAGAAAAGGAUGAGGAUGAGAAUGAGGAGGAUGUGGAGGAGGAGGAGUCUCGCAAUUUCCUCCGGUGGACGCUUAUCCGAUUGGAAAUUGCACGACAAAAACUUGAGAUCGUUGCACCCUACGUUAGGCACGUUUGAAAGACGCUACCGCAAGUCGAGCGCUUUACGAGAAUGCGGACGGUCGAGUCAACAGCCCUGAAUUCCUUCGUUGACUGAAAGUAUUCACGGAACGAAGGAUAUAUUCUUUCUCUCUUCUCCUCUCCCUUUCGUAUUUUAUUCGCAAAAAGUCUUUGUUUCUUUCUUAUUUUUCUUAUUUUCCCGUCAUUCAAGCGACGCGGAAUACUCGACGAUCGAUCGUAGAUCUUGAUCUUUUUCGAUCCUUUAAAAGGAAAAACAGAAAGUUAUAUCUACUCGAUAUACUCCAAUCAUUAAUAUUAUAAAGUCUUUGAUCGCAUCUUCUUCCUCAUACAUUUUCCUAUGUUUCUUUUUAAUCAAUAUUUCUAUUUCAAAUUUCGCGCAAUAUUAAAUCAGUGAUUUAAAAAUUACAAAAGAGUUUGAUUUAAAAAAUUAAAAAAAAAUCAAAUUGAAAUCUUAAUAACAAUCUAUCUUUCAUCGAAUAAAAUUGCGUAAAAAGAUAUUCCUAUAAAUAUUAAGGUAACGUAUUUGUUAAUAAUUGUUAUAUAAGGAAAAUCGAAAGGUGAUUUAUGAAAGGCGAAAUAUUUAUGUAAUAACUCAUAUUAUUCGAUCAACGUUCGUUUAUUUUUUCUUUUUUCUUUUUUUAUUGUUUAUUUUUCUGUGUAAGUAUAAUAUCAAUUACGUUUCGACUAUCGACAAGUGUGCAAUCGACUUUAUUGUCGAGAAAUAUAAUACUAAAUGAUUACUUCGUAGAAUUACCGAUGUAGGAAUAAAUUUAUCGUCAUUACAAUUAUUUCCAUCUUAAGUCGUUCAAAGAUUCCUUUAUGUCUCUCAAACGAUGAACAAUGCUAUCUCUUAAAGCAUUUUCUUUUUAUAGUAAUCGAUGUAUCAAACAUUUUGUGGAAUUUACUUAUUCAACAGGAUCAGUCAUCAAUUCGAAUUAUUCUAAUUUCGUGACGUAUCAAUUUCUUUCUUUAUAUAAUUUUCUCGUCAUUUCAAUUCGACAUAUUAAGUUUAAGUUCGACGAGAGUUUAUUUUCUCUAACAAACUAUUCCUUCAAAUUAUCUAUCCUUUCCACGUAUCACGGUUCUUACAAUUAAACGACUUCUCUAGAAAGAUCUAUUUCUCGAUCUAUUUCGUUUGACAGACUCGACUCUGUCAUGCAUCAAGUUUCGAACUAAUUUGCAAGAUUCUUUUUCCUCUUGGUUCGCCAAUCGUAUCGUUAAAGGAUAGAACAAUUUCUCGAGAAUUCGAUCUACGUUCGAAAGAAAAAAAGAAAGAGUAAAGGAAAAGGAUAGAAAUAAUUUUUCUCUUGCGCAAAAUUUCAAGCUCGAUCUAAAGUUUAAACGUAUAAAUAACAAUCGUUAAUAACGCAAUCAUCGAAGAACAUAUCCGUUUAGUUCGAUACCAAUUUAUUUUCUCGUGAACAAAUUGACUCCAUCAAAUCGUCCUAUCUCUUCUAUAUAUCAUAAUUUCUUUUUUCCUCUACUACCUACCCCAUUGCUCCCAUCAUUUCUCUAUAUCUUACAAAUCCGAUAAAUUUUCAUUCGAACAAUCGAAAUCAAUAAAUUUCUCUGGAAUCAUCCCGAUUAACGCGAACGUAUCGACGUAAUAACGUUAUUUUUACAAAUAUAUAUUUAUAUCUAAUUUGUCAUUUACCAUAACAUCAUAUAUUAUAAUUACUCGAAUGAAAAUGUCAAUAUAAAAAAAGAAACUACCUUCAAGCAAAUCAAAUUCAAUAAUUGAUAAAAAGAAGAAGAAAAAAAAAAGAAACCAUUUUUUAAGAAAGGUUAAGAAAUCAUUUUUUUCGUUAAUCGAAAUAGACUACAAAGCGAAUAUACAAUAGCUUAACUUUCCUCGUCCCCUUUCUCACUUUUUCUUUUAGUUAGGCCAAGCGCAUCAAGAAAAGGAACCGUUCAUUUCGCAAGGACUCGAUCAAUAAAGAUGAUACCUAGAUAGAUUAAGAAAAACGAAAUGAGAGAAACAAAGCGAAAGAAAAAAGAGAGAGAGAGAGAGAUCGUCCAUUCGAUCUAUAAUAGAUCGAACGAACGAUCUCUCGAAAAAUUCCACAAUCCUUCGAUCUCUCUCUCUCUCUCUUUCUCUUUCUCUUUCUCUCUCUUUCGAAUACCAGCACGUUAAAAGUCUGGUGAGAGGUAACGAAUGAUUAUCGAGAGUCCUGUUUCAGGUUCCUCCUUUCGCUAUCUUGCAAAGAACGUUCACGUUAAAUAAACGACGCUGGACCCCUCCCCCCUCCCACCCCCUCUUCCUCUUCCCACCACCUCCUCCUCCUCCUCCCCAUCCCUUCGACUUCGUCGUCGUUGCAAACUAGUAAUUGGAAUUCUAUCUGUCUAUC
Long non-coding RNA from Vespula vulgaris, 3086 nucleotides. RefSeq lists it as uncharacterized. The record is from RefSeq and is a predicted model, not a curated record. The transcript is spliced from 4 exons. Lineage: Eukaryota; Metazoa; Arthropoda; Insecta; Hymenoptera; Vespidae.